RNAcentral lists this ribosomal RNA (543 nucleotides) under uncultured archaeon. RNAcentral describes it as "bacterial SSU rRNA". It matches the Rfam family "Archaeal small subunit ribosomal RNA", at positions 336 to 879 of the family's 1478-position model. The record is from RNAcentral.
CAGGCGCGAAAACUUCACACUGUGGGCAACCCCGAUGAGGGAAUUCCAAGUGCUAGCACUUUUCGUGUUAGCUGUUCUCCUGUCUAAAAAACAGGAGAAGUAAGGGCCGGGUAAGACGGGUGCCAGCCGCCGCGGUAAUACCCGCGGCCCGAGUGGUGGUCGAUAUUAUUGAGCCUAAAACGUUCGUAGCCGGUCUUGUAAAUCCUUGGGUAAAUCGGCCAGCUUAACUGUCCGAAGUCCGGGGAGACUGCAAGACUUGGGAUCGGGAGAGGUCAGAGGUACUUCUGGGGUAGGGGUAAAAUCCUGUAAUCCUAGAAGGACCACCGGUGGCGAAGGCGUCUGACUAGAACGAAUUCGACGGUGAGGAACGAAGCCCUGGGGCGCAAACGGGAUUAGAUACCCCGGUAGUCCAGGGUGUAAACGCUGCGGGCUUGGUGUUGGGGGUCCUUAGUGGGCGCCCAGUGCCGGAGAGAAGUUGUUAAGCCUGCUGCUUGGGGAGUACGUCCGCAAGGAUGAAACUUAAAGGAAUUGGCGGGGGAGCAC